RNAcentral lists this long non-coding RNA (337 nucleotides) under Homo sapiens (human). RNAcentral's name for it is "HSALNT0218310". The record is from RNAcentral. Lineage: Eukaryota; Metazoa; Chordata; Mammalia; Primates; Hominidae.
CUAAAAUAGUUCUGGGAUGGCUGCCAUACAUACAGCUCUAUCAUAUUGUUGGGAUCCUAACUCAAAUCGUUAGACAAGGAUAGAGAUCAGAGACCCAUGGUGAAUUAAGUUUGUACUUUUCAGGGAAUCAUAAAGAUACUAAGAAUACAGGAAAAAACAAAAACCAGGAACCUUGCCUUGUAACCAUCUCCUAUCGCAGGGAGAAAUUGAGACACAGAGACCGACACCAAAGAGAGAAGAUGAUAUGAGGAGACACAGGGAGAAGAUGGACAUUUAACAGCUGAGGAACACAAGACUACCAGAAGCUAGGAGAGAGGCCUGAAACAGAUCCUUUCUC